Long non-coding RNA from Erinaceus europaeus (western European hedgehog), 750 nucleotides. RefSeq lists it as uncharacterized. Lineage: Eukaryota; Metazoa; Chordata; Mammalia; Eulipotyphla; Erinaceidae. The record is from RefSeq and is a predicted model, not a curated record. The transcript is spliced from 2 exons.
CUCUCGGCGCUUCUGAGGAGCGAACUGGCAGGAUGACGCCCUUUAUAGACUCGCCCUUGCUUCCCCGCCCCUUCCUUUCCCGCCCUCCCUUGCGCUACGGGGCCGCCCGCGCCCGCCCGCACGGGGCGCGCGCUCGAAUCGUUGAGUGAGUCUUCUUGGCUCUCCGGCCGGGUGACCUUUUGAAAUGAAACGACGUGGAAAGGAGCUAUUUUAGUAGCACCGCCUCCCCGUACUGCUCCCUUCGGCAGAGAUUGAAAACUUGAAGGACCGAGGGUAAAUACAGGCCGCUUUUAUUCGAGUUUGGAGUGUGAUUGCAUUGCCAACAAAACUCGCUGAGAAGUUUCCCCCCCACACACACUGGAAAAUGGUCUGUUCCGCGAAUGGAGACGGGUGGGUAUCUCCGGGUGUGUGAAGCAACUCUAUCGAGCUACGGUCCUGGAUCCCCGGCUUGAGCCGUUCGAAGAGGCUUCUGCUCGAAGGUCUGCUCCGGAAGGAGGCCAGCUACUGUCCGGGAGAGAUCACCACGGGACCAAGACAAGCUGGGAAAAGCAGAUUAGCUAUGGGGCGGGACAUAAAUCCUGGAGGAUUCGUGGUCAAGGCAUCUGAGCAUUGGAAAAAUCUUCCCCCUACUGGAAUAUCUCAGAAAUAAAAUGGGGUUGGGGCGGGGAUCCCAAGGGAUUCUCCAAUAAGAUCGGUGUAACGGACUUCCAUUCUCCUUCCAAAAUAGAAAUGACACUGACUGCACAGCCA